This 460-nucleotide ribosomal RNA is filed under the name uncultured bacterium. RNAcentral's name for it is "partial 16S ribosomal RNA". It matches the Rfam family "Bacterial small subunit ribosomal RNA", at positions 338 to 795 of the family's 1533-position model. The record is from RNAcentral.
CCUACGGGAGGCAGCAGUGAGGAAUAUUGGUCAAUGGACGAGAGUCUGAACCAGCCAAGUAGCGUGAAGGAUGACUGCCCUAUGGGUUGUAAACUUCUUUUAUAUGGGAAUAAAAUGUUCCACGUGUGGGAUUUUGUAUGUACCAUAUGAAUAAGGAUCGGCUAACUCCGUGCCAGCAGCCGCCGUAAUAGGGAGGAUCCGAGCGUUAUCCGGAUUUAUUGGGUUUAAAGGGAGCGUAGGUGGAUUGUUAAGUCAGUUGUGAAAGUUUGCGGCUCAAACGUAAAAUUGCAGUUGAAACUGGCAGUCUUGAGUACAGUAGAGGUGGGCGGAAUUCGUGGUGUAGCGGUGAAAUGCUUAGAUAUCACGAAGAACUCCGAUGGCGAAGGCAGUUCACUGGACUGCAACUGACACUGAGGCUCGAAAGUGUGGGUAUCAAACAGGAUUAGAUACCCUUGUAGUC